This 459-nucleotide ribosomal RNA is filed under the name uncultured bacterium. RNAcentral's name for it is "bacterial SSU rRNA". It matches the Rfam family "Bacterial small subunit ribosomal RNA", at positions 56 to 508 of the family's 1533-position model. The record is from RNAcentral.
UGCAGUCGAGCGGCAGGGCCUUCGGGCCCCUAUAGCGGGGGACGGGUGAGUGAACGUGGACAAUCUGCCCCCCGGGCCGGGAUAACCCGCGCAAACCUGGAUUAAUACCGGAUGAAACGGGACCCGCGGAGGCGGGAUCCGGGAAAGGCGCUGCGGCGCCGCCGGGGGAUGAGUCUGCGUCCCAUUAGCUAGACGGCGGGGUAACGGCCCACCGAGGCGACGAUGGGUAGCCGGCCUGAGAGGGUGGACGGCCACAUUGGAACUGAGACACGGUCCACACUCCUACGGGAGGCAACACCUAAGAAUCUUCCGCAAUGGGAAAAAGCCUGACUGAGCGACGCCCCGUGAACGAAGAACGCCGUGAGGUUGUAAAGUUCUUUUCGGGAGGGGGAACAACCUUGGCAAGGAAUGGCCGCGGGAUGACGUGAAUCCCGGAAUAAGCCCCGGCUAACUACGUGC